CAAGGCGCCAGGUAUUUCCAGCACGGAGCAGCUGCCCAAGUUACCUGGGAGAUGGGAAAAUCGUGUGAAAGCUGGUUAACCCUUUGAGGAUUAGAGUAAUGGUGGAAGCAGAAAGGAGAAGGAGUUUCACUCCAGGAUGUACGUAGGACCAGCCCUCCCUGCAGUCCUGUCCUUCAAGACUCAAGUCUUGUCCACUCCAAAUCACCACUGGGAUUCCUAAGUCCAGGACAGAGCUUCAGGCAAGGAAAAGAAGAGUUGGGAAAGCCAGUUUCCAACAUUUAUCAGCCACGUGUACCUGCAAACUAUAUACCUUGGGUAA
Molecule: long non-coding RNA, 319 nt
Filed under: Homo sapiens (human)
Lineage: Eukaryota; Metazoa; Chordata; Mammalia; Primates; Hominidae
Description: long non-coding RNA NONHSAT162164.1
Source: RNAcentral